RNAcentral lists this ribosomal RNA (508 nucleotides) under uncultured bacterium. RNAcentral's name for it is "partial 16S ribosomal RNA". It matches the Rfam family "Bacterial small subunit ribosomal RNA", at positions 28 to 507 of the family's 1533-position model. The record is from RNAcentral.
GACGAACGCUGGCGGCGUGCCUAAUACAUGCAAGUCGAACGCUUCUUUCCUCCCGAGUGCUUGCACUCAAUUGGAAAGAGGAGUGGCGGGCGGGUGAGUAACACGUGGGUAACCUACCCAUCAGAGGGGGAUAACACUUGGAAACCGGUUCUAAUCCCGCAUUACAGUUUAUGCCGCAUGGCGUUAGAGUGAAAGGCGCUUUCGGGUGUCGCUGUCGGCUGGACCCGGGGGGCAUUAGCUAGUUGGUGGGGUAACGGCUUACCAAGGCCACGAGGGACAGCCGAAGUGAGAGGGGGAUCGGCCACACGGGGACUUAGACACGGCCCAGACGCCUGCGAGAGGCAGCAGUAGGGUAUCUUCGGCAAUGGACGAAAGUCUGACCGAGCAACGCCGCGUGAGUGAAGAAGGUUUUCGGAGCGUAAAACUCUGUUGUUAGAGAAGAACAAGGACGUUAGUAACUGAACGUCCCCUGACGGUAUCUAACCAGAAAGCCACGGCUAACUACGUG